GACGAACGCUGGCGGCGUGCUUAACACAUGCAAGUCGAACGAUGAAGCCUUAGCUUGCUUUGGUGGAUUAGUGGCGAACGGGUGAGUAACACGUGAGCAACGUGCCCAGGACUCUGGAAUAACCGCGGGAAACCGUGGCUAAUACCGGAUAGGUGCCGAGGCCGCACGGUCUUCGGUUGGAAAGUUUUUGCGGUUCUGGAUCGGCUCACGGCCUAUCAGCUUGUUGGUGGGGUAAUGGCCUACCAAGGCGACGACGGGUAGCCGGCCUGAGAGGGUGACCGGCCACACUGGGACUGAGACACGGCCCAGACUCCUACGGGAGGCAGCAGUGGGGAAUAUUGCACAAUGGGCGCAAGCCUGAUGCAGCAACGCCGCGUGGGGGAUGACGGCCUUCGGGUUGUAAACCUCUUUUAGUAGGGAAGAAGCGCAAGUGACGGUACCUGCAGAAAAAGCACCGGCUAACUACGUG
This 469-nucleotide ribosomal RNA is filed under the name uncultured bacterium. RNAcentral's name for it is "partial 16S ribosomal RNA". It matches the Rfam family "Bacterial small subunit ribosomal RNA", at positions 28 to 507 of the family's 1533-position model. The record is from RNAcentral.